RNAcentral lists this transfer RNA (72 nucleotides) under Ornithorhynchus anatinus (platypus). It matches the Rfam family "tRNA". Rfam says of the family: Transfer RNA (tRNA) molecules are approximately 80 nucleotides in length. Lineage: Eukaryota; Metazoa; Chordata; Mammalia; Monotremata; Ornithorhynchidae. The record is from Rfam by way of RNAcentral.
AGCAGUGUGGCCUAGUUGAAAGGGCAUGGACCUGGGAGUCAGAGGACCUGGGUUCUAAUCCCAGCUCUGCCA